RNAcentral lists this ribosomal RNA (254 nucleotides) under uncultured bacterium. RNAcentral's name for it is "partial 16S ribosomal RNA". It matches the Rfam family "Bacterial small subunit ribosomal RNA", at positions 333 to 604 of the family's 1533-position model. The record is from RNAcentral.
UGUCCCCUACGGGGCGCAGCAGUGGGGGAUAUUGCACAAUGGGGGGAACCCUGAUGCAGCGACGCCGCGUGGGUAAAGAAGCGCCUCGGCGCGUAAAGCCCUGUCAGCAGGGAAGAAAAUGACGGUACCUGAAGAAGAAGCCCCGGCUAACUACGUGCCAGCAGCCGCGGUAAUACGUAGGGGGCAAGCGUUAUCCGGAUUUACUGGGUGUAAAGGGGGCGCAGACGGCGAUGCAAGCCAGGAGUGCAAGUCCG